This 2342-nucleotide long non-coding RNA is filed under the name Manduca sexta (tobacco hornworm). RNAcentral describes it as "uncharacterized LOC119188707". The record is from RNAcentral. Lineage: Eukaryota; Metazoa; Arthropoda; Insecta; Lepidoptera; Sphingidae.
UACUACUUUUAUAACGGAAAACUUUAGCCUGAAAAAUUUUAUAACGCGGGCGGAGCCGCGGGCAAAAGCUAGUAAAUAUAUAAUUCCAAUAAAUUAAGUGUAAAUACAGGCAAACUUUAAGAGUUCAAAUAAUUUCACGGUGGUAUCUUUAUAAAUAUAGACAUAUUUCAUAAGCAUUUUUUUUCGCAUCAGAACCUGAUAAAAUUGUUUUUACAACUAUGUGAAAGAAUUGUAUUAUAACUUUAAAAAUAUUAUUGAAUUUUAAACGUCAAUGCCAUAUAAAACUAACCUUAGAAAUUUACGUUCCAGUAAAGUAGUAAAUAAAUGGUACCAAGCAUCAAAACUAUUUUGAAAACUAUUUUGCUUUUCAAUGAUUGUUUAUGGUAGUCUUAUUUACGGAAAUAAUUGUGUCUUUAAAGCAAUCCCCCGGCAAAACGGCAUACCCACCAUUUUUGUUUAAUCUAUUCGGUAUUGGAAAAAUGUAGAAAGAAAUAUGCACCAUAUUUUUAUAUGUUAUCUUUACAUAGGUUGUUUUUUUAUAAUUGGAUAUUGUUUUAUUGAUUUAAUAAAUAAUGUUAUUAAAAUUGUUAAUUUCAUGCUGAAGUACACAUAAAUUUAAUUUGCACCCGACACUAUUACUUCGACAAUUUAAUUAGGAAUAUGUAUUUUGAGUUGAAAAUAUUCAAAUGACAUAAAAUUGUUUUUUUUGAUUAUUCGUAAAUUCUUGCAUUAUUCCACCCACAAUCCGUGCUACGUCAAUAUAUAAAUCGAAUGCUCUAGGUCGUAUAUAAAAUAUAAAAAAAUUACAAUACAACUGGCGCGCUCUUUUUUCGUAUAGCGGAUUUGCUAGCGCGGAAACGUCUCCGACUUAUUUUAGCAAUUGUUUUUUUUAUUGAGUCAUUAUUCUUGUCUCUUGGAUAUGAAUCAUUCGGUCGGUUUGGUCACACUGCCUUAUAAGGCAGUGAUGGUUAUAAUAGUAAAUAAUUAUUGCAAAAAAGAUGAUUACACCUUGAGAACGAUUUGUGAGAACACUUAUUUUAAAUUAUCAUUGUUUUUAUGAGUGUUAUUUAAAGAAAUAAGUAGGGAUAAUUAUGUGGUUAAAGAUUUUAAUGCUUCUAUGAGAGUGAUGCCUAAUAUUGUUAAGAUUUAAAAUAUUUAAAUGAAUUAGGUAGAAAAUAUUAACGUAUUAAGAUUUACUUCUGAACUUUAUAUUGGUGAUAAUUCCUGUCUAUUUUAAGAAUAUCGAUAGUUCAUAAGUUUCUCCAAAUAUGAAUUGAUCUAUUAAAAUUAAAUUAAGUAUUUACAGAGAUAAAGCAUUUCAAUCAUGGGUUUCGUUUCUAGUUCAAAUUUCAAUCAAUUUUAUCUCCAGUUGUUUAAGUCAAUGGGCGAUCUGAAAAAUGGGGGAGGCCCAAGUUCAGCAGUGGACAUCUUGCGGCUGAUGAUGAUGAUGUUUAAGUCGACGAAUUAUAAAUAAUCCAUGUAUCGGCCCUAAAUAUUCUGUAAAAUAUUGUUAUUGAAUAUCUUGAGUAUUGUAGCUCCAUGCAAGUUUGAUGUUACACUUGCAUGUAAGUUCAAUAUUACCAAACAUGCAGCUUAUAUUUAGAAAAUCAGAUGUUAAAUACCUAUUUGUAAUUUCAUAUCCAAUACUCGGAGAUAGUUGGGAUCUUCUAAAUAUGUAAUAAACUCUCCUAUUUUUAAAAUACUAUUGAACUUUGUUUUUAUUGUAACACUUGGGUUUUAUAUUUAUCAAAUAUUGCCCGCAUACCAAAUUUUUGGUUCGUGUAUUCUGCCGUGCUAAGCUCGAAAGCAGUAUCUCAAAAAAAUAUCAAAAUCUUGAUUAUUGUGUCGUCAGAUAGCUUAAAGAAAUACCCAUCCAAUGAACUUACCCAAAUAAACAUAUCUUGUUGACAAUUUGUCAAAAAAUCCUUAAAGAGUUCGUCUAUCUCAGUUUUACAUACAAAACUAUAUUUACAAAACUUCGAUUAUCUCAAAAUAAGGUUUCCCUGACAUACCGCUUUUGCGUUUAGCGCGGCAAUAUUGUUCUGCAAUGAAUUCGACGAGUCCUAUGUUUACUAGUUCAAGUUCAAAAACAUAACUGUUUUUGAACCUCAGUAUUUCAAAAAAAUCUGUUAAACUAUGAGAAAUUUAAGUUUAGAAUGUUUAAAUCGCCUCCUCAUCCUGUAAAGUUAUUUUUGCACUUGUAUUAUUAUACGUAAGACCUGUCGAAAUAUCACUAAUCUUUAUUAAGAGUUGAAAAUUUACGAUUUCCAUGAAGAUUUCGAUUUGUGAUAGUUAAUAGUGAUAGCAAUGCGGUUGCCAUGUUUUAAUAAAUGUUUUAUUCA